RNAcentral lists this ribosomal RNA (468 nucleotides) under uncultured bacterium. Its description in RNAcentral is "partial 16S ribosomal RNA". It matches the Rfam family "Bacterial small subunit ribosomal RNA", at positions 28 to 507 of the family's 1533-position model. The record is from RNAcentral.
GACGAACGCUGGCGGCGUGCUUAACACAUGCAAGUCGAACGGAAAAGCCCUGCUUUUGUGGGGUUCUCGAGAGGCGAACGGGUGAGUAACACGUGAGUAACCUGCCCUUGACUUUGGGAUAACUUCAGGAAACUGGGGCUAAUACCGGAUAGGAGCUCCUGCUGCAUGGUGGGGGUUGGAAAGUUUCGGCGGUUGGGGAUGGACUCGCGGCUUAUCAGCUUGUUGGUGGGGUAGUGGCUUACCAAGGCUUUGACGGGUAGCCGGCCUGAGAGGGUUACCGGCCACAUUGGGACUGAGAUACGCACCAGUAUCCUACGGGAGGCAGUAGUGGGGAAUAUUGCACAAUGGGCGGAAGCGUGAUGCAGCAACGCCGCGUGCGGGAUGACGGCCUUCGGGGUGUAAACCGCUUUCGCCUGUGACGAAGCGUGAGUGACGGUAAUUGGUAAAGAAGCACCGGCUAACUACGUG